Molecule: ribosomal RNA, 253 nt
Filed under: uncultured bacterium
Lineage: Bacteria
Description: partial 16S ribosomal RNA
Rfam family: Bacterial small subunit ribosomal RNA
Source: RNAcentral
UACGGGGGGGGCAAGCGUUGUUCGGAAUUACUGGGCGUAAAGGGUUCGUAGGUGGCUUGCUAAGUCAGACGUGAAAUCCCUCAGCUUAACUGGGGAACUGCGUCUGAGACUGGCAAGCUUGAGUGCAGGAGAGGAACGCGGAAUUCCAGGUGUAGCGGUGAAAUGCGUAGAUAUCUGGAGGAACACCGGUGGCGAAGGCGGCGUUCUGGACUGCAACUGACACUGAUGAACGAAAGCCAGGGGAGCAAACGGG